Misgurnus anguillicaudatus (oriental weatherfish) is the source of this 1296-nucleotide non-coding RNA. Lineage: Eukaryota; Metazoa; Chordata; Actinopteri; Cypriniformes; Cobitidae. The record is from RefSeq and is a predicted model, not a curated record.
AUGUUGAUGUAUACUAAACGCAACGGACUUACAGGGACUUACACCACACGAAAUGAAGUAACUUAGCUAGUUAAUAAGGCAAGGUGAUUCAAGCUAGCAACAUUUCGAUAGUUUGUCCAUUAAUUUUAGAAUGCGCUUAUUUUAAUGUCCAUUUAUGUAUAGUACGAUCCAAAUCUAUAAACAGCUAUAACGUUUAGCAUUCCCGUGGUCUGGUUUGUGUGGCAUUAUUGCCAUGUGCACAUCUGGUUAAAGCAGAUUCAUCCUGAAAAUCAAACGGCUAUAAAUUUAUUUACUGAUAGCUGUUUCUUAUGCUAGAGAUAGUUGGUCUAAAACUCUAUUUAAUGAAUUCAUGACAGUUGCUUGUCUUUGAUGAAUUAUAGCUGUUUGGGCUACCAGACAUGCUGUUGUGACUAUUUUAUAUAUAUGUUUUAUGCUAUCAAUGAGGUAAAUCCAGCAAAAACAGUAGGCUACUGAUCGGGCUAGUGCAUUAUCUAGCUAUGUUAACAGCUAUUCACUUUUUAUUGCAUUGGCAUAGUGCAUCCUAUUUUUAUUUAUUUAUUUAUUUUUUGCUGUUUUAAUUAUCAUUGAGUUGUAGAUCAAUGUUUACAUUUGUUUAUUUCUUUAUUUAUUUUUAUUACAGAUGCUGAUCACACUGCUGUUCAAGAUAUCCAAGGAUUUAUAUCUCAGAACUAGGAGGAAAUUUGAAUGGUUUCUUACUUGCUUAAUCCUGUUUCUCCAUCUCUCAUUCUAUCUCUCAUUCUGUCUGUCUGUCUGUCUGUCUGUCUGUCUGUCUGUCUGUCUGUCUGUCUGUCUGUCUAUCUAUCUAUCUAUCUGUCUAUCUAUCUAUCUAUCUAUUUCUCAUUCUGUCUGUCUGUCUGUCUGUCUGUCUGACUCAGUGGUAGUCUUAUGUCAUUAAUAUUGUGUUUAAUUUGUUCUAUGUAGGGAUAUGCCAUUGCAGCUGACCUUGAGAGUUCACUCUCUAUACCUGCAACUCCUCGUCUGAUACUUCUUGGAGAAACGAGAAGCCGCUUCCAGCGCUGGAUGCUCAGCCUUGAGGGCCAAAUUUGCGAAGGGAUCCAGUCCACCUUUGUGACAGGGCUUGCGUCUUUUUUUCUGUUUUCACAUCUUUAACCAAGAGCAGGCAGCCUGCACGCUUGAAUUCAUCCAGAGACACUUUGAGGGUAUAAACCCAGAAAAAGGGACAAAUGCUGCAAAGGGGGAGCAAGCUCAUGGACUUUCAGUGGGAUUUCAUUUGAAAAUGACCCAAGACUUCGCAAAUGAUCCUCAUUGUGUGCU